This 478-nucleotide ribosomal RNA is filed under the name uncultured bacterium. RNAcentral's name for it is "bacterial SSU rRNA". It matches the Rfam family "Bacterial small subunit ribosomal RNA", at positions 28 to 506 of the family's 1533-position model. The record is from RNAcentral.
GAUGAACGCUAGCGGCAGGCUUAACACAUGCAAGUCGAGGGGUAUAGUUCUUCGGAAUUAGAGACCGGCGCACGGGUGCGUAACGCGUAUGCAAUCUACCUUUCACAGAGGGAUAGCCCCAGAGAAAUUUGGAUUAAUACCUCAUAGUAUAGCAGUUUCGCAUGAAACCACUAUUAAAGUCACAACGGUGAAAGAUGAGCAUGCGUCCCAUUAGCUAGUUGGUAAGGUAACGGCUUACCAAGGCAACGAUGGGUAGGGGUCCUGAGAGGGAGAUCCCCCACACUGGUACUGAGACACGGACCAGACUCCUACGGGAGGCAGCAGUGAGGAAUAUUGGACAAUGGGCGCAAGCCUGAUCCAGCCAUGCCGCGUGCAGGAUGACGGUCCUAUGGAUUGUAAACUGCUUUUGUACAGGAAGAAACACUACUUCGUGAAGUGGCUUGACGGUACUGUAAGAAUAAGGAUCGGCUAACUCCGU